RNAcentral lists this ribosomal RNA (406 nucleotides) under uncultured bacterium. RNAcentral's name for it is "partial 16S ribosomal RNA". It matches the Rfam family "Bacterial small subunit ribosomal RNA", at positions 30 to 526 of the family's 1533-position model. The record is from RNAcentral.
AUUGAACGCUGGCGGCAGGCCUAACACAUGCAAGUCGAACGAGUGGCGGACGGGUGAGUAAGGUAUGGGAAACUGCCUGAUGGAGGGGGAAAACGACUGGAAACGGUAGCUAAUACCGCAUACAAUCAGAAGUGGCCAGAUGGGAUUAGCUUGUUGGUGGGGUAACGGCUCACCCAGGCGACGAUCCCGAGCUGGUACGAGGGGAUGACCAGCCACAUGGGAACGGAGACACGUACCUACCGCCUCGGUGAGGCAGCAUUGGGGAAUAUUGCACAAGGGGCGCAAGCCUGAUGCGCACAUGCCGCGUGUAUUAGGAAGGCCUUCGGUUUGUAAAGUACUUUCAGCGGGUAGACGUUACCCGCAUAAGAAGCACCGGCUAACUCCGUGCCAGCAGCCGCGGUAAUAC